CAUAAGAAUAUAAUAUAGCUGCGCUAUCAGCUUUAAGGUAUACGGUUGCUUAAUUCGUUUCGAGAUAAGAUUAUAAGAACGGAGUCGUUGCCAUAUAAACCACUCGUACGCGGACGGACGUUUCGACACAAUAAUAUUAAUUUGUAUCGUUCGGUUAUUAAAAAAAAAUAUGCAUAAAAUAUAGUAUACAGGGCGGAUUCUUAUUAAUAUACAGGGUUGUAAAAAAUUACACGUAUACACGUUCGGGAAACCCUCCACGAUUCUACUGCAUCGGCCUAUACAUUUUAGAGGCUUAUACCAGAUUUUUAGACAAAUAUUCCGUUUUCCAAUUUAAUAUAAUGUAUUCAGAGAGAACCUAUACAAUUAUAAUCACUCUAUAUAACUGUAUAAUAUUGUGUACAUUGUGUAUAAUAAACAUUAUACACAUUACAACAGCAGCUGUAGGUGCCUAUAUUUGUAUUUGUGGUUUUUUUUUUUUUUAUCUAGCCUUGGUCUAGGACGAUUGUGACCGAGACGAGAUAUCGGUGGAAUAAUAAUAAUAAUUAUUAUUGCGUUAAAUAUAAAAAGUCUAGCGAGUCGAUUGCUUAUCGGUAAUAAUAAUUUCUAUAUUACAAAGAGGUGAAAACUCGUGCGUGUUCGGUAUACCAACGAG
Molecule: non-coding RNA, 652 nt
Organism: Cinara cedri
Lineage: Eukaryota; Metazoa; Arthropoda; Insecta; Hemiptera; Aphididae
Source: the annotation of a GenBank genome assembly